Molecule: ribosomal RNA, 713 nt
Filed under: uncultured Lachnospiraceae bacterium
Lineage: Bacteria; Bacillati; Bacillota; Clostridia; Lachnospirales; Lachnospiraceae
Description: bacterial SSU rRNA
Rfam family: Bacterial small subunit ribosomal RNA
Source: RNAcentral
UCGGCUUAGAGUUUGAUCAUGGCUCAGGAUGAACGCUGGCGGCGUGCUUAACACAUGCAAGUCGAGCGAGCCUUCGGGUAGCGGCGGACGGGUGAGUAACGCGUGGGUAACCUGCCUCAUACAGGGGGAUAACAGUUAGAAAUGACUGCUAAUACCGCAUAAGCGCACAGCUGCAUGGCCAGUGUGAAAAACUCCGGUGGUAUGAGAUGGACCCGCGUCUGAUUAGGUAGUUGGUAGGGUAACGGCCUACCAAGCCGACGAUCAGUAGCCGACCUGAGAGGGUGACCGGCCACAUUGGGACUGAGACACGGCCCAAACUCCUACGGGAGGCAGCAGUGGGGAAUAUUGGACAAUGGGGGAAACCCUGAUCCAGCGACGCCGCGUGACUGAAGAAGUAUUUCGGUAUGUAAAGGUCUAUCAGCAGGGAAGAAAAUGACGGUACCUGACUAAGAAGCCCCGGCUAACUACGUGCCAGCAGCCGCGGUAAUACGUAGGGGGCAAGCGUUAUCCGGAUUUACUGGGUGUAAAGGGAGCGUAGACGGCGAUGCAAGUCUGAAGUGAAAGCCCGGGGCUCAACCCCGGGACUGCUUUGGAAACUGUGUUGCUGGAGUGCAGAGAGGUAAGUGGAAUUCCUAGUGUAGCGGUGAAAUGCGUAGAUAUUAGGAGGAACACCAGUGGCGAAGCGGCUUACUGGACUGUAACUGACGUUGAGC